UACGUAGGGUGCGAGCGUUGUCCGGAAUUACUGGGCGUAAAGGGCACGCAGGCGGGCUUUUAAGUGAGAUGUGAAAUCCCCGGGCUUAACUUGGGAAUUGCAUCUGAAACUGGUUGGCUAGAGUCUUGUAGAGGGGGGUAGAAUUCCAUGUGUAGCGGUGAAAUGCGUAGAGAUGUGGAGGAAUACCGGUGGCGAAGGCGGGUCUCUGGGCAGUAACUGACGCUGAGGAGCGAAAGCAUGGGGAGCAAACAGG
RNAcentral lists this ribosomal RNA (253 nucleotides) under uncultured bacterium. RNAcentral describes it as "partial 16S ribosomal RNA". It matches the Rfam family "Bacterial small subunit ribosomal RNA", at positions 524 to 776 of the family's 1533-position model. The record is from RNAcentral.